CCUACGUGAGGCAGCAGUGAGGAAUAUUGGUCAAUGGGCGCGAGCCUGAACCAGCCAAGUAGCGUGAAGGCUGACUGCCCUACGGGUUGUAAACUUCUUUUAUAAAGGAAUAAAGUGAGGCACGUGUGCCUUUUUGUAUGUACUUUAUGAAUAAGGAUCGGCUAACUCCGUGCCAGCAGCCGCGGUAAUACGGAGGAUCCGAGCGUUAUCCGGAUUUAUUGGGUUUAAAGGGAGCGUAGAUGGGUUGUUAAGUCAGUUGUGAAAGUGUGCGGCUCAACCGUAAAAUUGCAAUCGAUACUGGCAGUCUUGAGUACAGUUGAGGUAGGCGGAAUUCGUGGUGUAGCGGUGAAAUGCUUAGAUAUCACGAAGAACUCCGAUUGCGAAGGCAGCUUACUAAACUGCCACUGACAUUGAUGCUCGAAAGUGUGGGUAUCAAACAGGAUUAGAUACCCCAGUAGUC
Molecule: ribosomal RNA, 460 nt
Filed under: uncultured bacterium
Lineage: Bacteria
Description: partial 16S ribosomal RNA
Rfam family: Bacterial small subunit ribosomal RNA
Source: RNAcentral